RNAcentral lists this long non-coding RNA (226 nucleotides) under Lathyrus oleraceus (garden pea). RNAcentral describes it as "Pisum sativum (pea) long non-coding RNA (PSAT_LNC038140)". Lineage: Eukaryota; Viridiplantae; Streptophyta; Magnoliopsida; Fabales; Fabaceae. The record is from RNAcentral.
AUACGUCAUACAUACAUUAUGCAAUGAGACUCCAUGCAUGCGGUACCGACUAUUCGUGAACACAUAGUUCAACCUCACCGAUCAAAUCCAGAUACGGCUACCAAGCUCACUAGUCCCACUCAUUUGAGACCUAGUGACUCACUCACUAAUUCCUCACCAUGGGAAUUAGCUACCACCCCAAGGGCUAUGCUAUGCACGCUAAAUCACCUAGCAUGCAAACAUCAAC